RNA transcript from Malaclemys terrapin pileata, 2928 nucleotides. It is a transcript of the gene named CD276 antigen-like, with no coding region annotated. The transcript has 5 exons. Lineage: Eukaryota; Metazoa; Chordata; Testudines; Emydidae. The record is from RefSeq and is a predicted model, not a curated record.
UGGUGGUGAGCUGUGGAAAAGGACUUCAGGGGCUGAUGUCAUUUGCAUGGACACACCCACCCUGCCUAGCAUGAAGGGACUGCCUGCCAAAUGGUCACUCUGGCUGCUGUGGGACCCCCAGUCUCUUUGUUUUCGGGGCAGGAGUAAUAAAGUGUUGUUAUCCUGGUUAUGGAAUCAAGGACGGUAGAACUGUACUUGGCAUUUUAUGACGGAGGGACUCGCCCUCAACUAAGUAGCUUUUGGUAGGCAGAGGACAUGGAUUCCAAAGGCUAGUGAAGGGGGAGAAGUAUUGUGAGUAGUUGUUGGUUGCCUGUGAAGGUUCUAAACAUCACUUUGAUCUUUCUUUUUCUCAACUGUAUAAUAAGAGAGCUAAUUUUGACUCUCUAUUAGGAAUCUUAUUACAUGUUGCAGAGCUCAAAUCACUGAUUAGUAGUGUCAAAGUUAGACUCAGGACUCAUAGUUUGUCAGACCACUCUGUUUUAUUAGCACAGCGCUCUGCUAAUACAUUCAGAUAAUGUGAGCCUCCAUGCAAGAUUCAAACAGUCUUAUUUAUACAGAUAAAAGGGUGCGAACUAAACAAAGGGACAGAGAGAGCAAAAUUGUAAAAUAUGCAUGGAGCACAAUAUGCAUAUCCUGCUUUCUUAUUAACUCUUAUCGAUCUAAGACUAAUGCUUCACCAAUUGCCCUUAAGUGGCAAGUUAAGCAGUUAAUGUCUGCUUUCCUGCCCCCCUGGCUUGCAGCAUUUCUCAUUUCGACUUAAAGGUACAUACAGCAUUCUUUAAUUCCUUCUAUUUCUUUAAUAGAAUUCAUUUCACUUUCACAGUAGGUGUAAGCAUUAGACUUACUUUGGGUGAGUGGUUCUGAGUGCAACAUUAGGGCCUCCCUGCUAACAGCUGAAAUCACCGAGAGCUGUGUUAAGUGUGUGGGGGGGCUGGAGGCACAUUUGUGAGCGGCUAGCAGGACGGCUAGCGGAGUGGUAGGGCUAGCAGGACGGCUGGUGGUGAAGACUGCAGCAGAACCCCGUGGAGAGGUGUGGUAACUGGCCGUUGACUGGAGCAGGUAAGCUGCCCCCAUACCUUCCCCCCCCACUUCUACCCCCGCUGGGAGGUAAACUCUGCAGAUGAAUUUGUGAACUCUGAGGCUGCACUGACCAAGGACAGAAACUGUGGGAGGGGGUGACUGUUGGGUUGCUGGACUUGAGACCCUGAGGAGAAAAAGACACUGCCAAACUUACUUGGAGGUGGGUCUUUUGCUCAUGGUUUGUGUUAUGAAUCCUGUUUGUGGUGUUUCCCCACAUAAUGCCGCAUUGUUUCCCUCCUUUAUUAAAAGGCUUUUGCUACACUCAGACUCCGUGCUUGCGAGAGGGGAAGUAUUGCCUCUUAGAGGCACCCAGGGGGUGGUAUGUAAUUGUCCCAGGUCACUGGGUGGGGGCUUGAGCCGGUUUUGCAUUGCGUUAUUGAAACAGAACCCCUAGAUACAGAACCGGUCCUUGUUGCUGCCAACUGUGACGGGCAGAAGGGUUACAAUAAUAUACACCCUCUCUGAUGGACACAUCGCUGCUGCUCCACCUCAGACAAUGAGCCCCAGCAGCCUGAAUCUAUCUCUGCACAUGCAGAUUUGUGGCAAAACUUCAGUGCUCUGGUCAGAUCCCAGCUGGGGUCAAUCGGCCGUCGCUCCAUUGGGGUCAAUGGGGAGCUUCCAAUCUGAAAGUCAGGAAACAGGCUCCACAGCUUUUAAUCUGGCCAGACAACAAGGGGACCCCGAAGGGACACGAAUCCUACUGCAGGGCUCACCCCAGGCACGGCUGAGCACCCCGACCACCGGUGAAAUCGGGGGGAGAUGCGGGAGCCCAUCUCCCACCUGGAGACGUUGGGAGCCCUCAGAACGGUUAGGCCAGCUGGUGUCGGUGCACUGGCUGGUCUCAUUCAUGCCCGGGUCUAGCCCACGAGUCUGGUGUUUGUCUUGCAGAUGAAUGUUGGUUCGCUCCUCUUCCCAGUCCAUGCUGCUUCCCCUCUUGAUUCUCAACUUUGCCGUGGCAGAAACCUCAGCACCAGAUGUUGUAGCUCAGUUUGGGGGGGACGUCACCCUGAGCUGCCUCUUCCCGUCCCCGCCCGGGAUGAACCUCCAGCGCCUGACCCUCACCUGGCAGAAGGAACGGGCGGGGGCAGAGGACCUGGUAGUUCAUAGUUACUAUUACGGGAAGGAGCAGCUGGAGAGACAGGACGAGGCUUAUAGGAACCGGACCCAGCUGGAUCCAGAGGGACUGGCCCGGGGGAACGCAUCCGUGACACUGAGGGGCGUCCGCAUCCAGGACGAGGGCGUCUAUCUCUGCCACAUCACCUCGGAGCAGGGCAAGAUUUCAGAAAGGAGACAGGUUAAAGUGAUGGCCCCGUACUCGGAGGCCCGACUGGAGGUUAGCGUGAGCAGCCAGUUGACCCUGACCUGCUGUGCGGAGGGCGGGUACCCCGAGGCCUCUGUGCUGUGGCUGGACGGAGCCGGGAACAACGUUACGGUGGAGAGCGACACCAGGCUGCAGAGAGACCCCAGGGGACUCUGUGAUGUGAGCAGCCGAAUCCUCCUGCCCAGGGGAGAAAGCGGCAACUACACCUGCCUCCUGGAGAGCCCCGGACAGCCCCACGUCGUCCGACACCUGAGCGUCUCCUGCAGCCCAGAUAAAUCCAGAGCUGCUAAAAUCCAUCCACGGGGAGCGCUCAGGUUUUGCUCCGUGUGUUGGGCGGCUGUAUGACUUGAUGAGCCUGCACAUGUCCCAGCAGCCUUUGGCAAGUGUCCUGUUCAUGUCGGACGUCUUCCAGGAUAAUCAUGGCUUCCUAGCUCCCAGCAAGGCGGGGUCGUUUCUGUGCCCCGGAGCUGUUUUGAUCCGUGCGGGUGCCCCCAGCGACGUGGCAGCUAAUGGAAACUAAAGUGCGG